Molecule: ribosomal RNA, 467 nt
Filed under: uncultured bacterium
Lineage: Bacteria
Description: partial 16S ribosomal RNA
Rfam family: Bacterial small subunit ribosomal RNA
Source: RNAcentral
GACGAACGCUGGCGGCGUGCUUAACACAUGCAAGUCGAACGGAAAGGCCCUGCUUUUGUGGGGUGCUCGAGUGGCGAACGGGUGAGUAACACGUGAGUAACCUGCCCUUGACUUUGGGAUAACUUCAGGAAACUGGGGCUAAUACCGGAUAGGAGCUCCUGCUGCAUGGUGGGGGUUGGAAAGUUUCGGCGGUUGGGGAUGGACUCGCGGCUUAUCAGCUUGUUGGUGGGGUAGUGGCUUACCAAGGCUUUGACGGGUAGCCGGCCUGAGAGGGUGACCGGCCACAUUGGGACUGAGAUACGGCCCAGACGCCUACGGGAGGCAGCAGUGGGGAAUAUUGCACAAUGGGCGGAAGCCUGAUGCAGCAACGCCGCGUGCGGGAUGACGGCCUUCGGGUGGUAAACCGCUUUCGCCUGUGACGAAGCGUGAGUGACGGGAAUGGGUAAAGAAGCACCGGCUAACUACGU